Molecule: long non-coding RNA, 172 nt
Filed under: Mizuhopecten yessoensis (Yesso scallop)
Lineage: Eukaryota; Metazoa; Mollusca; Bivalvia; Pectinida; Pectinidae
Description: uncharacterized LOC110463707, transcript variant X1
Source: RNAcentral
GCAACAUCUAUUUUCUUACAGAAGGAAAGAGAGAAAGACAAGAAGGAAAGAGAGGAACAAAAGCGGAGAAUAGAUGAACUGGAGAACGAAAAGGAGGAACUAAAGUGCAUGAUAAAGGAUCUACUGGAAAAACUAGAGGAAGAAAAAAAGAAAAGAGAGGAAGAACAAAAGG